This 76-nucleotide transfer RNA is filed under the name Agrobacterium tumefaciens. RNAcentral describes it as "tRNA-Thr (CGT) (tRNA-Thr-CGT-1-1)". It matches the Rfam family "tRNA". Rfam says of the family: Transfer RNA (tRNA) molecules are approximately 80 nucleotides in length. Their secondary structure includes four short double-helical elements and three loops (D, anti-codon, and T loops). Further hydrogen bonds mediate the characteristic L-shaped molecular structure. tRNAs have two regions of fundamental functional importance: the anti-codon, which is responsible for specific mRNA codon recognition, and the 3' end, to which the tRNAs corresponding amino acid is attached (by aminoacyl-tRNA synthetases). tRNAs cope with the degeneracy of the genetic code in two manners: having more than one tRNA (with a specific anti-codon) for a particular amino acid; and 'wobble' base-pairing, i.e. permitting non-standard base-pairing at the 3rd anti-codon position. The record is from RNAcentral. Lineage: Bacteria; Pseudomonadati; Pseudomonadota; Alphaproteobacteria; Hyphomicrobiales; Rhizobiaceae. RNAcentral also lists the same sequence under 206 other names.
GCCGCUUUAGCUCAGUUGGUAGAGCACGUCAUUCGUAAUGACGGGGUCACGUGUUCGAGUCACGUAAGCGGCACCA